AUUGAACGCUGGCGGCAGGCCUAACACAUGCAAGUCGAGCGGAUGACGGGAGCUUGCUCCUUGAUUCAGCGGCGGACGGGUGAGUAAUGCCUAGGAAUCUGCCUGGGAGUGGGGGACAACGUGUCGAAAGGAACGCUAAUACCGCAUACGUCCGACGGGAGAAGGCAGGGGACCUUCGGGCCUUGCGCUAGCAGAUGGGCCGAGGUCGGAUUAGCUAGUAGGUGAGGUAAUGGCUCACCUAGGCGACGAUCCGUAACUGGUCUGAGAGGAUGACCAGUCACACUGGAACUGAGACACGGUCCAGACUCCUACGGGAGGCAGCAGUGGGGAAUAUUGGACAAUGGGCGAAAGCCUGAUCCAGCCAUGCCGCGUGUGUGAAGAAGGUCUUCGGAUUGUAAAGCACUUUAAGUUGGGAGGAAGGGCAGUAAGUUAAUACCUUGCUGUUUUGACGUUACCGACAGAAUAAGCACCGGCUAACUCUGUGCCAGCCGCCGCAGUAA
Molecule: ribosomal RNA, 500 nt
Filed under: uncultured bacterium
Lineage: Bacteria
Description: partial 16S ribosomal RNA
Rfam family: Bacterial small subunit ribosomal RNA
Source: RNAcentral